UGGGGAAUAUUGGACAAUGGGCGCAAGCCUGAUCCAGCCAUGCCGCGUGAGUGAUGAAGGCCCUAGGGUUGUAAAGCUCUUUCACCGGUGAAGAUAAUGACGGUAACCGGAGAAGAAGCCCCGGGUAACUUCGUGCCAGCAGCCGCGGUAAUACGAAGGGGGCUAGCGUUGUUCGGAAUUACUGGGCGUAAAGCGCACGUAGGCGGAUCGAUCAGUUAGGGGUGAAAUCCCGGGGCUCAACCCCGGAACUGCCUCUAAUACUGUCGAUCUGGAGUUCGAGAGAGGGGAGUGGAAUUCCGAGUGUAGAGGUGAAAUUCGUAGAUAUUCGGAGGAACACCAGUGGCGAAGGCGGCUCACUGGCUCGAUACUGACGCUGAGGUGCGAAAGCGUGGGGAGCAAACA
Molecule: ribosomal RNA, 402 nt
Filed under: uncultured bacterium
Lineage: Bacteria
Description: bacterial SSU rRNA
Rfam family: Bacterial small subunit ribosomal RNA
Source: RNAcentral